Molecule: ribosomal RNA, 573 nt
Filed under: uncultured bacterium
Lineage: Bacteria
Description: bacterial SSU rRNA
Rfam family: Bacterial small subunit ribosomal RNA
Source: RNAcentral
AGAGUUUGAUCCUGGCUCAGAGCGAACGCUUGCGGCGAGCCUAACACAUGCAAGUCGAGCGCCUGUAGCAAUACAGGAGCGGCGGACGGGUGAGUAACACGUAGGUCAUCUGCCUCUCGGUGGGGGAUAACCAGGGGAAACUCUGGCUAACACCGCAUGAGGUCCACGGAUCAAAGCAGCAAUGCGCCGGGAGAUGAGCCUGCGUCCGAUUAUCUAAUCCUAGUUGGCGGGGUAAUGGCCCACCAAGGGUACGAUCGGUAGCUGGUCUGAGAGGACGAUCAGCCACACUGGAACUGAGACACGGUCCAGACUCCUGCGGGAGGCAGCAGUGGGGAAUAUUGCGCAAUGGGGGAAACCCUGACGCAGCUACGCCGCGUGGGUGAUGAAGGCCAUCGGGUUGUAAAGCCCUGUCCGUGGGGACGAAUACUGACGGUACCCACGAAGAAAGCACCGGCUAACCCUGUGCCAGCAGCCGCGGUAAUACAGGGGGUGCAAGCGCUGCUCGGAAUCACUGGGCGUAAAGCGUGCGCAGGCGGAACGUUAAGUCGGGCGUGAAAUCCCGGGGCUCAACCC